RNAcentral lists this ribosomal RNA (253 nucleotides) under uncultured bacterium. Its description in RNAcentral is "partial 16S ribosomal RNA". It matches the Rfam family "Bacterial small subunit ribosomal RNA", at positions 524 to 776 of the family's 1533-position model. The record is from RNAcentral.
UACGUAGGGUGCAAGCGUUGUCCGGAAUUAUUGGGCGUAAAGAGCUCGUAGGCGGUUUGUCGCGUCUGCUGUGAAAACCGGAGGCUCAACCUCCGGCCUGCAGUGGGUACGGGCAGACUAGAGUGCGGUAGGGGAGAUUGGAAUUCCUGGUGUAGCGGUGGAAUGCGCAGAUAUCAGGAGGAACACCGAUGGAGAAGGCAGAUCUCUGGGCCGUAACUGACGCUGAGGAGCGAAAGCAUGGGGAGCGAACAGG